GACGUCAAAGCGGAGCGCCCUCCGCUGCGGCUCCGCCCGUUCCAUAGCUGCCGCGGAUCAGGGCGGACGUGACGCCUUAGCGUGGUCCUCAGACCUCGCUGUGCCCGGGGUGGGGCGUGUCGGCUGCUACCGAGAACCUGCUCGGGGGACGCGUCCGUCAACCGGAAUCCAGGGGACAGAAGCUUCCGACGCGCGAGGCCUCGGGAGGAGCGUCUCCUUGGUAACUCUCCUCCGGUCGCAAGACCUGGAAGUGGCCUCAGGGGGUCGCCCUUCCUGUCCGUCGUGGAUGAAGGGGACCACUUGGCUUCAGAAAUCCCCGCUGGCCUCCGCCUCCCCUGGGGUUUCCCUUUCGGCGCAGGCGGGGCAGCGGCGUCAUCACAACCAUCGCCACCCCAGUAAUCACAGCGAGCGGCCCUUUGCGCACGCGUGGAGCCUUCUCAGGCCUCAGUACUUCUCACUUCGCCCGGCAAGGCUGGCCAGGAGGGGUGCAUUCUCCCUUUCCGCGUAUUUCAAGACCACUCCCCUUCUGCAUGCUCGGUGUCCCAGUCUGUCUCCUCGCUGCCUCCCGAGGCCUGGAACUGAAGCAAAGUUCGCCCCGAAGCCGACCGUUCUUUGAAGUUGAAAUCCUCAAAAAGCCUGCAGACUGAAUAGCGCUGUACUGGGCACGCGCAUUGCGCUUCCAGCCGCCCUUGGGUGCUGCGUGCUGGGCCGGGUCGGGUUGGGGCCUUCCUACAUACUCUUGCGACCAUUAGGCUCUUCUUGGGUGAGUUGCAAGUUAAAAUUACCAGGGCUCUCUGAACAUGGACCUUGGUGCUUUUUUUCUCUCUCCCUCUUCCGUGUUCUUUUUCAAACGCAUCUUCUCCCUUAUUAGAUUCAGAGAAGCCAGACAGGGCAGGCAGGGGUCCUCAGAUGUGCAGUCUGCAGGGCCUGAGGUUGUACACCAGGGCAGUGGAAAAGCAGCUAGGACUUGGACUUUCACAGUUACAUCGACAUUCUCCUCUUCCGGAUGGCACAUGCCCCCUCAAUCUGACCUGAAGUCCCUUCCUCCUGGCCCCCUCUUCCUUCCACGUAGAACCCCUGGAACUGUCAUUCUUGCUGCCUCCUGCUUACGUGGAGAGCCCUGUGUCCCUUUCACAUCUCCAUCUACCAGUCAGGCUCUUGGGCAGCAGCGUACCUGACUUAGGGCCUGUACCACAAGUCGUUUCUAUCAGGCUGAAUAGAGCCACCGUUUUUUGUGUGUUUGUUUGGUUUGGUUUGUAUUUUUUGUAGAGAUGGGGUUUCGUCAUGUUGCCCAGGCUGGUCUCCAACUCCUGGACUCAAGUGAUCCUCACACCUCAGCCUCCCAAAGUGCUGGGAUUACAGCGAAGAGCCACAGCACCUAGCCUGAGGCUGACUAGAGGAACUGUCUCUGAACCAUCUCUUGGACUCCAGCCUGUAUGCACAGACCCCCAGGUUAUUACCGUCUCCAGCUCCCAGCCCUACCCUGAAUUCCUCAGUGCGCCGACUAUGUCACCAUCAUGGCCAAUAUCCACUCAACUGUCUAUUCUGCCUCGCACCUACAAAGAGCCUUACAUGAGUCCUCUCACUUAAUCUCUCCAAUUUACUCCUCAUGACAACCUUACAUAUCCCCACAUAAGCAGGAAACUGAAUAAUUAUUUUAAAAUACAGUGUCGUUCUUGUACUAAAAACCAUCUGGCUGCCCGAUACUGUGGCUCACGCCUGUAACCCCAGCACAUUGGGAGGCCGAGGCGGGCAGAUGUCUUGAGAUCAGGAGUUCAAGACCAGCCUGGCCAACAUAGUGAAACCCCUUCUCUACUAAAAAUACAAAAAUUAGCCAGGUGUGGUGGCGGGCGCCCGUAAUCCCAGCUACUCGGGAGGCUGAACCAGGAGAAUUGCUUGAACCGGGAGGCAGAAGUUGCAGUGAGCCGAGAUCACACCACUGCACUCCAGCCUGGGCAACAGAGUGAGACUCUAUCU
Molecule: long non-coding RNA, 1977 nt
Organism: Homo sapiens (human)
Lineage: Eukaryota; Metazoa; Chordata; Mammalia; Primates; Hominidae
Gene: ZNRD2-DT
Product: ZNRD2 divergent transcript
Source: Ensembl